This 460-nucleotide ribosomal RNA is filed under the name uncultured bacterium. RNAcentral's name for it is "partial 16S ribosomal RNA". It matches the Rfam family "Bacterial small subunit ribosomal RNA", at positions 338 to 795 of the family's 1533-position model. The record is from RNAcentral.
CCUACGGGAGGCAGCAGUGAGGAAUAUUGGUCAAUGGCCGAGAGGCUGAACCAGCCAAGUCGCGUGAGGGAAGACGGCCCUACGGGUUGUAAACCUCUUUUGUCGGGGAGCAAAGCGGACCACGUGUGGUUCAUUGAGAGUACCCGAAGAAAAAGCAUCGGCUAAAUCCGUGCCAGCAGCCGCGGUAAUACGUAGGGGGCAAGCGUUCUCCGGAUUUACUGGGUGUAAAGGGAGCGUAGACGGUGCAGCAAGUCUGAUGGGAAAGGUCGGGGCCCCACCCCGGGACUGCAUUGGAAACUGUUGAACUGGAGUACAGGAGAGUUAAGCGGAAUUCCUAGUGUAGCGGUGAAAUGCGUAGAUAUUAGGAGGAACACCAGUGGCGAAGGCGGCUUACUGGACUGUAACUGACGUUGAGGCUCGAAAGCGUGGGGAGCAAACAGGAUUAGAUACCCGAGUAGUC